UCAUGGCGGCUGCACGAACGAUAGCUCUGACACAGGUCCUCAGACCCCAUGUCCCUCUUAUCAAGUUUCGCGGUGGCAAAGGACCCAAAAAAGAGCAUUUCACAGUGCCUCCUGCUGUGGCUACUCCUGUGCACAAAGCACCACAGCAGUCAUCUUUUGUUGUAAAAGGCACAAGUGUUAAAGGUUCUGGUGUUGAAGCAAAGCAUGUGUCAUCUAAGUAUAAAUCCAAACCUCUUACAGCAGAUGAAAUUGAAAUUAUACAGAGAGGUGGUGCUGACCUAUGAUCUAGUCAUUAUGUUUAUAUGCCGGCUCCAAGUUUGUCAGCGGUUGAAUUAUUAAUGUCUGUGUGAAAAUUGGUAGCAAUAUCAAGUUGUUGAAGAAAAUGAAACAAUGACCCUGUGUAUACAGUGUGAAAUCGUAGUCAAGAUGUGCUGCAAUGUUCCCAUUUGUAUACCUGUAUUUUAGCUCACUAGACAAUAUCACUAAAAUGAAUUUGGUUUUUAAAAAGAUGGAAACUGUUUUUUCUCUUACUGGUAGUUAUUUCCUCUGACACAAUUUAUCCUGAUGGUACAUUGCUGGCAGACACUAACUUACACAGUGAAAUGACUAUAUGAUAUAUUAUCAACACAUUGUGCAAGAUUGUAAUUAUUGAACUUUUAUAAUCUUAAUUAUGUUUUGUUGAUUAAUAUAACCUUGUAUUGCAAUAAGUCCAACUGAAAGCUCUCUGGCUAGAGCCCUCUGAGGCAGGCUCAAGAAGCUGGUAACCUGGCUUUGAUGACUGGUUCCAAAUGCUGAUCUCUGGCUCUUAUAUCUGGUGCCAAUGAGUGUUACCUGGCUCUGGUUACUACCUUCUGUAUUUGCUACAUAUACCUGAUUCUGAUGUUUUUGUGCCUGGUGACAGGUUUCUGUGCUUGCUGUGCUUUGGCUGGUGCACCAGUUGGGCUUUCAUUUAGCAUUGUGACUUUUUGAUUCAAUUAAUGUAUAAUAUUUCACUACUUGUAGUCACAGUAAAAAAUUUACUUUUUCAAUGACAGUCUCAGAAUAAUCUGUUGUUAUUCAUGAAUAAUGGAUGUAUUUUAUGUUUGCCGUGUUUAUCACUAAACAUGAACAUUGUUGUGUACCUGUAUUUUAUUCACUAACAUAUUUGCCAGAGUAAGUAAAAAAUUGGUUAUGUGGGUGCUGACCUCUUUCAAGUGACAUCAAACUCUCAUUAACCCAUAUUCACACUGGCGUAAUGUUUUCAAAAAUAUAAAAAAUAUAAAAAGGUCAAAAUAUAUUUUCACCCUCACAAAUUCUUACAAAGAUGCAAUGGAAAUGUUUAAAUAAAUUAUAUUAACAUUUAUUAUACACAAAAAUGUGCAAUGUAUGCAUACAUAAAAUCAACCAAACAUUAAAUAAAAUGAUAACUAUGCUGGCUUACAA
Saccoglossus kowalevskii is the source of this 1422-nucleotide long non-coding RNA. The record is from RefSeq and is a predicted model, not a curated record. Lineage: Eukaryota; Metazoa; Hemichordata; Enteropneusta; Harrimaniidae.